This 253-nucleotide ribosomal RNA is filed under the name uncultured bacterium. Its description in RNAcentral is "partial 16S ribosomal RNA". It matches the Rfam family "Bacterial small subunit ribosomal RNA", at positions 524 to 776 of the family's 1533-position model. The record is from RNAcentral.
UACAGAGGUCUCGAGCGUUAGGCGGAAUCACUGGGCUUAAAGCGUGUGUAGGCGGAUCGGUAAGUACCUUGUGAAAUCCCACAGCUUAACUGUGGAACUGCUUGGUAUACUGCCAGUCUUGAGCCAGCUAGGGGCUACCGGAACAAAUGGUGGAGCGGUGAAAUGCGUAGAUAUCAUUUGGAACGCUAAUGGUGAAAACAGGUAGCUGGGGCUGUGCUGACGCUGAGACACGAAAGCCAGGGGAGCAAACGGG